Molecule: long non-coding RNA, 95 nt
Organism: Etheostoma cragini (Arkansas darter)
Lineage: Eukaryota; Metazoa; Chordata; Actinopteri; Perciformes; Percidae
Exons: 3
Source: RefSeq, a predicted model, not a curated record
AGAUAAGUAAACAUGAUGUGCCUUUGGAACAUUGGAUGAAUGGUUGCUGACAAUGGGCAACGUAGAUAUUGUGUUAAAGAUCAACCACGUCUUUC